Non-coding RNA from Penaeus vannamei (Pacific white shrimp), 595 nucleotides. Lineage: Eukaryota; Metazoa; Arthropoda; Malacostraca; Decapoda; Penaeidae. The record is from RefSeq and is a predicted model, not a curated record.
CUCUUGCCACUCUGAUUGACAAGCAGACCAACUUAGUAUUUGUGUUUGUCGUGGGCGCUAACACAUCAAAAGAAAAGUGCACCAAUUUUACCAGAAAGUACAAGAAGUUAGUCCGUCCAGCACUUGUGGUUCGUGUGAGGAACAUUUUGUAUGAUGUCUUUGAUGAAAAGAACACUGACAAUCGCACAACUCCAGCAAUGUCACUAUAAUGAAAUGGUCACCUUUAGAAGUUGGGCCUUUGAUUAUGUACCUUAGAUAUAUUUAUAUAUUUUUUUUUAUAUGUUAAAUUAUGUUCAUUAUUCAAGACAAAAUUAUGUUAGUGUAUAUGAAAUAAGUAAAUAUAAUUUUUUUGUCAAUUUUGUUAAUGUUUCUGAGUUUUACAAAUUGUUAGUGGUCCUGUACAUAUAAACUUAGUCUUAUCAUAAUGUAUGAAACUUUCAUCAAGGAGAGAUUGUAUUUAUUUAUUGACCAUUCCAGUGAUAUAAAUCACCUAAUUUCAUAACUUGUUUGAAUUCCACAUCUUGUGAAAUGAAUAAAGCAUAAUACAAAAAUAAUGAUACAUUUUUGUAAAAGAGAAUGAAGCAGUCAAAGAAAA